Molecule: ribosomal RNA, 427 nt
Filed under: uncultured prokaryote
Description: bacterial SSU rRNA
Rfam family: Bacterial small subunit ribosomal RNA
Source: RNAcentral
UGGGGAAUUUUCCGCAAUGGGCGCAAGCCUGACGGAGCAAUACCGCGUGAGGGAGGAAGGCUUUUGGGUUGUAAACCUCUUUUCUCAAGGAAGAACAAAAUGACGGUACUUGAGGAAUCAGCAUCGGCUAACUCCGUGCCAGCAGCCGCGGUAAUACGGAGGAUGCAAGCGUUAUCCGGAAUUAUUGGGCGUAAAGCGUCCGCAGGUGGUAAUUCAAGUCUGCUGUCAAAGACCGAAGCUUAACUUCGGAAAGGCAGUGGAAACUGAAUUACUAGAGUUCGGGAGGGGUAGAGGGAAUUUCCAGUGUAGCGGUGAAAUGCGUAGAGAUUGGAAAGAACACCAGUGGCGAAGGCGCUCUACUGGACCGAGACUGACACUCAGGGACGAAAGCUAGGGGAGCGAAAGGGAUUAGAUACCCCCGUAGUCC